Molecule: ribosomal RNA, 608 nt
Filed under: Pseudomonas sp. 2FB11
Lineage: Bacteria; Pseudomonadati; Pseudomonadota; Gammaproteobacteria; Pseudomonadales; Pseudomonadaceae
Description: bacterial SSU rRNA
Rfam family: Bacterial small subunit ribosomal RNA
Source: RNAcentral
GCGGCAGGCCUAACACAUGCAAGUCGAGCGGAUGANUGGACUUGCUCCNUGAUUCANCGGCGGACGGGUGAGUAAUGCCUAGGAAUCUGCUGGUAGUGGGGGANAACGUUUCGAAAGGAACGCUAAUACCGCAUACGUCUACGGGAGAAAGNNGGGGAUCUUCGGACCUUACGCUAUCGGAUGAGCCAGGUCGGAUUAGCUAGUUGGCGAGGUAAAGGCUCACCAAGGCGACGAUCGUAACUGGUCUGAGAGGAUGAUCAGUCACACUGGAACUGAGACACGGUCAGACUCCUACGGGAGGCAGCAGUGGGGAAUAUUGGACAAUGGGCGAAAGCUGAUCCAGCCAUGCCGCGUGUGUGAAGAAGGUCUUCGGAUUGUAAAGCCUUUAAGUUGGGAGGAAGGGCAGUNAGUUAAUACCCNGCUGUUUUGACGUACCGACAGAAUAAGCACCGGCUAACUUCGUGCCAGCAGCCGCGGUAAUCGAAGGGUGCAAGCGUUAAUCGGAAUUACUGGGCGUAAAGCGCGCGUAGUGGUUCGUUAAGUUGGAUGUGAAAGCCCCGGGCUCAACCUGGGAACUGCUCCAAAACUGGCGAGCUAGAGUAGGCAGA